RNAcentral lists this ribosomal RNA (442 nucleotides) under uncultured bacterium. Its description in RNAcentral is "partial 16S ribosomal RNA". It matches the Rfam family "Bacterial small subunit ribosomal RNA", at positions 338 to 795 of the family's 1533-position model. The record is from RNAcentral.
CCUACGGGUGGCAGCAGUGGGGAAUAUUGCACAAUGGGGGGAACCCUGAUGCAGCGACGCCGCGUGAGUGAAGAAGUAUUUCGGUACGUAAAGCUCUAUCAGCAGGGAAGAAAAAAGGACGGUACCUGAGUAAGAAGCCCCGGCUAACUACGUGCCAGCAGCCGCGGUAAUACGUAGGGGGCAAGCGUUAUCCGGAAUUACUGGGUGUAAAGGGAGCGUAGACGGCAAUGCAAGUCCGGAGUGGAAUGCGGCAGCUCAACUGCCGAACUGCUCUGGAAACUGUAUGGCUUGAGUGCAGGAGGGGUAAGCGGAAUUCCUGGUGUAGCGGUGAAAUGCGUAGAUAUCAGGAGGAACACCGGUGGCGAAGGCGGCUUACCGGCGCCCAACUGACGCUGAAGCACGAAAGCGUGGGUAUCGAACAGGAUUAGAUACCCUAGUAGUC